This 532-nucleotide ribosomal RNA is filed under the name Bacteroidaceae bacterium. Its description in RNAcentral is "bacterial SSU rRNA". It matches the Rfam family "Bacterial small subunit ribosomal RNA", at positions 1 to 522 of the family's 1533-position model. The record is from RNAcentral. Lineage: Bacteria; Pseudomonadati; Bacteroidota; Bacteroidia; Bacteroidales; Bacteroidaceae.
ACAAUGAAGAGUUUGAUCCUGGCUCAGGAUGAACGCUAGCUACAGGCUUAACACAUGCAAGUCGAGGGGCAGCAUGGAGAUUGCUUGCAAUCUUUGAUGGCGACCGGCGCACGGGUGCGUAACGCGUAUCGAACCUGCCCUGUACACGGGGAUAGCCUUGCGAAAGCAAGAUUAAUACCCGAUGUUUUGGCGAUGCCGCAUGACAUUACCAACAAAGAUUUAUCGGUACAGGAUGGCGAUGCGUCCCAUUAGCUGGUUGGCGGGGUAACGGCCCACCAAGGCUUCGAUGGGUAGGGGUUCUGAGAGGACGGUCCCCCACACUGGAACUGAGACACGGUCCAGUCUCCUACGGGAGGCAGCAGUGAGGAAUAUUGGUCAAUGGUCGAUAGACUGAACCAGCCAAGUAGCGUGCAGGAAUACAGCCUUAUAGGUUUUAAACUGCUUUUAUGCGAGAGUAAAGUCGGGUACGUGUACCCGUUUGCAAGUAUCGCAAGAAAAAGGACCGGCUAAUUCCGUGCCAGCAGCCGCGGUA